RNAcentral lists this ribosomal RNA (814 nucleotides) under uncultured bacterium. Its description in RNAcentral is "bacterial SSU rRNA". It matches the Rfam family "Bacterial small subunit ribosomal RNA", at positions 8 to 809 of the family's 1533-position model. The record is from RNAcentral.
AGAGUUUGAUCAUGGCUCAGAUUGAACGCUGGCGGCAGGCUUCACACAUGCAAGUCGAACGGUAACAGGAAGGAAGCUUGCUUUCUUUGCUGACGAGUGGCGGACGGGUGAGUAAUGCUUGGGAAUCUGGCUUAUGGAGGGGGAUAACUACGGGAAACUGUAGCUAAUACCGCGUAAUAUCUUCGGAUUAAAGGGUGGGACUUUCGGGCCACCUGCCAUAAGAUGAGCCCAAGUGGGAUUAGGUAGUUGGUGGGGUAAAGGCCUACCAAGCCGACGAUCUCUAGCUGGUCUGAGAGGAUGACCAGCCACACUGGAACUGAGACACGGUCCAGACUCCUACGGGAGGCAGCAGUGGGGAAUAUUGCACAAUGGGGGGAACCCUGAUGCAGCCAUGCCGCGUGAAUGAAGAAGGCCUUCGGGUUGUAAAGUUCUUUCGGUGACGAGGAAGGUGUUUGUUUUAAUAGAACAAGCGAUUGACGUUAGUCACAGAAGAAGCACCGGCUAACUCCGUGCCAGCAGCCGCGGUAAUACGGAGGGUGCGAGCGUUAAUCGGAAUGACUGGGCGUAAAGGGCACGCAGGCGGUGACUUAAGUGAGAUGUGAAAGCCCCGAGCUUAACUUGGGAAUUGCAUUUCAUACUGGGUCGCUAGAGUAUUUUAGGGAGGGGUAGAAUUCCACGUGUAGCGGUGAAAUGCGUAGGGAUGUGGAGGAAUACCGAAGGCGAAGGCAGCCCCUUGGGAAUAUACUGACGCUCAUGUGCGAAAGCGUGGGGAGCAAACAGGAUUAGAUACCCUGGUAGUCCACGCUGUAAACGC